CCUACGGGAGGCAGCAGUGGGGGAUAUUGCACAAUGGGGGGAACCCUGAUGCAGCGACGCCGCGUGGGUGAAGAAGCGCCUCGGCGCGUAAAGCCCUGUCAGCAGGGAAGAAAAUGACGGUACCUGAAGAAGAAGCCCCGGCUAACUACGUGCCAGCAGCCGCGGUAAUACGUAGGGGGCAAGCGUUAUCCGGAUUUAUUGGGUGUAACGGGGGCGCAGACGGCGAUGCAAGCCAGGAGUGAAAGCCCGGGGCCCAACCCCGGGACUGCUCUUGGAACUGCGUGGCUGGAGUGCAGGAGGGGCAGGCGGAAUUCCUGGUGUAGCGGUGAAAUGCGUAGAUAUCAGGAGGAACACCGGUGGCGAAGGCGGCCUGCUGGACUGCAACUGACGUUGAGGCCCGAAAGCGUGGGGAGCAAACAGGAUUAGAUACCCCAGUAGUC
Molecule: ribosomal RNA, 440 nt
Filed under: uncultured bacterium
Lineage: Bacteria
Description: partial 16S ribosomal RNA
Rfam family: Bacterial small subunit ribosomal RNA
Source: RNAcentral